Tribolium castaneum (red flour beetle) is the source of this 456-nucleotide long non-coding RNA. RefSeq lists it as uncharacterized. NCBI's taxonomy places the organism in Eukaryota, Metazoa, Arthropoda, Insecta, Coleoptera, Tenebrionidae. The record is from RefSeq and is a predicted model, not a curated record. The transcript has 3 exons.
AACUUUGACGAGGGUUAGAGACCGGAUGUUUUCCGGAACUCCCGGAAGUGUAAAACGAUUUUUUUUCGCGAGCCGAUCUUUCCCGAACUGGUCCGUUUCGUCUGUGUCACAGUUGGUGUCUCCCAAAAGUCGUAAAACAAUUCGGUUGUCAAAUUAGAUGUGCAGUGAACUCAAAACGUGUUUUGGGCCUAAAUACCAAAGAUUUUACUUUCGUCAGUGGCAGAUCCACUCCAUCAGGACCUGAGGCGCCAAUUCCCGGACGAAUAUUUUAAUAAAAAGUCAAACUGGCAGAUUUUGGAAAAACUUGCACGAAAACCGUAUCAAAUUGCGAACAACUUAGUCCAUUUUGAAGCCAGAAAUCAUCUUAUAAUGAAGGAAUUUUUCGUCAGGUCUUACUACAAAUGAAGUGUAAAGAUGUGUAACAGAAAGAAAAAUAAAACUUGAACGUUUCUUGAA